Molecule: long non-coding RNA, 319 nt
Organism: Arabidopsis thaliana (thale cress)
Lineage: Eukaryota; Viridiplantae; Streptophyta; Magnoliopsida; Brassicales; Brassicaceae
Product: other RNA
Exons: 1
Source: RefSeq
CAAAGAUGUUGGUGGACAUUUCAUCACGAUAGAUGUCUUAUUUUGUGUGUUUGGAUUUUGGGGGUUGUUUCAUGUGAAAUUCUCCUCUCUGCAUACAAAUAUCAUCACAUAAUGGUUAGGAAAGGGCUCAAAAAGCCAAAGAAAUAACUUGUCUGAAAAUUAUCAAGCAUUAUCUGAUUUAAAAUGCUUGAGGCUCUAAAUCCUUCAAGUGUUGUUUUGCUUGCCUGAUCCUCCGUGUCAGUUUAUUUUUAAGUUCCACAUGUUUGAUACUGAAGCUAAUAAUUUAUCGCUGUUAGGGUAACAUGUGUAAAUGAUACAU